ACAAAUAUUUUCAUUGCAGCGCGUUAAAUGAAAUUACUUACAGCUCUGAAUCUCUCAACUCACUGCACCCUCUUUCGAACACGUCUCUCUCAAACCACCCUCUCUCACACAUCUCUCUCGCAAUCCCUCCGGCACAUCUCUCUCGCUACUUUCUCACGCUCAGGACUCACUCUCACUCACUUCUCAAGCAAUUAAAUUUUCAAUUAGGGAUCUCCAGCAACGAGUUAUAAAGCGGGGCCGUGAUUGUAAAAGGGGUUUCAAGUAUGGGGUUCAAACUACGCUUCUUCUGCUCUUAAUGGGGGCGGUGGGUUCUUCAGCGACUGGGUUUGCACUAAGGUUCUUAAGAUGAUAAUUGGGGCUUCUUCAGAUAUUUGUGUGAUGUUCGUAUGGAAUGUAUAAAUGACUCGUGGUAUUCAAAAUCGUCUUAAGAAUACUCUCUGGACGGUUGCACUUAUGUAUGGGUUCUUUAAACAGGUAACUUCCAAAAGUAUUCUUAUGCUUUCAUCCUAUAUGUACAGUUCCACAAGAGGAUCCACUCUUGAGCAAUUUGUAACUAUGGAAAGCAGGGUUCUAAUAGUCGGUUUUAGGUCGAAUAAUUGCUAAUGCAAGAUGGAUGUUGUGCCACAAUGAUCCUAUUAUGCCCUGUUCCAUUAUACAAUUUUGUAUCUACCGUCUAAAUUGGUUUUUACAGAAAAUUGCCUCUUCCAUGCUUCCAUUGCUGCAUCAUUUUAAUUCUCUUUUCUAGUAAUUUGUCUCAUCAUUUGUAGUAUCAAGUAACCUUCACAUAACAGGAAAGUGCCUCAACUUGAUCCUCAUAGCAAGAUGAUCUCGACAUCACGCAGGAAUCGGGUUUCUGGACCUUUUGCCAUUGACAACUGAAAACAGGAAAGUAGAAAAUUGUUGUUUUCUAUUUACAAAGAGACUUUAUACAUGUGCAAUUGCUCCUCCUUUUUUGAGAAAUUUAGUUAUUUCUUGUUCUUAUAAUUCUAGUGUAUUUUUAUAAUGUUAAAAUGAAAGUAAAACUCGUCCAAUAUUGUGCCAGAAAGAUAGUUCUAGCAGUUCUAUAUGAAGCAUACGAUCAGGUGCAUAUAUAUUUUCUGUAAAUGAUUUUAUCGUCCACUUCAUAAAAGAAAGAAAACAAAUUCUCCCUGAUCUUAAGUGCAAAUAUUCCUAGUAGUAUUAGCUUGCAGAAUGCUCUAAAAAUAUAGGAUUGUCCUGACAUUUGAUACAAAGUUAAAUAAUUUGUUAGUGAUUAAUCUUCUAUGCAUGACACAAUAAUUGGGGAUCUACUUGCUGGAGUUAGAAAUGUUGACAUAAGGGGGAAUACUAUAAUAAUUUUUGGGUUGCCUGCUAUUAUGCCAUGUUCUGCAUUAAUAAUAAGUUGACUAUAUUUUUUAUGAUUUCUUAUAUAAUUGUUAAUUUCAGAAACUGCUGUCAAAUAAAUUGAAAUUCAUUCAAAGAGUUCACAGCUAGAGAGGACAUUGACAUUGCAGUAGUCUUGGUCAGCCAAUACGAAUUCAGAGCAGACUAAUAUUAUGAAGGCAUCAUUUUAGAACGGAGUUCUAAGAACAAAUUGCCUAACUGUUUGGACCACACAAAUAUCACACAAUUUGCAUAUGGCUUGGUUGCUUUUGGUCGUCCGCUCAACACUUUGAGACACGAAAACGAAAAGACAACUACGAGUACAAAUUACCUGAGAAUGCAGUGAUCUUGUCCGUACUUAGCUUUAAUAUGUUGGUUGGUACUUUGCGUUGGUUGGAUUGUUGGUUUAGACUUAAAUUUGGGUAAUUUGUCGUAUAUUAGGAUGGCUUUGCUUUGAGUAGCCUAAUUAUGUUAUUUUGGAUGGUUUUAUGUAUUGGAAUGCUUCACAAGUUUUAAGGGAAAAUAAUAUUUUCAGUACCCA
Molecule: long non-coding RNA, 1903 nt
Organism: Daucus carota subsp. sativus
Lineage: Eukaryota; Viridiplantae; Streptophyta; Magnoliopsida; Apiales; Apiaceae
Exons: 3
Source: RefSeq, a predicted model, not a curated record